This 452-nucleotide ribosomal RNA is filed under the name uncultured bacterium. Its description in RNAcentral is "bacterial SSU rRNA". It matches the Rfam family "Bacterial small subunit ribosomal RNA", at positions 29 to 526 of the family's 1533-position model. The record is from RNAcentral.
AACGAACGCUGGCGGCAGGCCUAACACAUGCAAGUCGAGCGCUCUCUUCGGAGGGAGCGGCGGACGGGUUAGUAACGCGUGGGAACGUACCCUUCUCUACGGAAUAGCCUCGGGAAACUGAGAGUAAUACCGUAUACGCCCUUUGGGGGAAAGAUUUAUCGGAGAAGGAUCGGCCCGCGUUGGAUUAGGUAGUUGGUGGGGUAACGGCCUACCAAGCCUACGAUCCAUAGCUGGUUUGAGAGGAUGAUCAGCAACACUGGGACUGAGACACGGCCCAGACUCCUACGGGAGGCAGCAGUGGGGAAUCUUAGACAAUGGGCGCAAGCCUGAUCUAGCCAUGCCGCGUGAGUGACGAAGGCCUUAGGGUCGUAAAGCUCUUUCGCCAGGGAUGAUAAUGACAGUACCUGGUAAAGAAACCCCGGCUAACUCCGUGCCAGCCGCCGCCGUAAUAC